CACGGGUGAGUAACACGUAUCCAACCUGCCGUCUACUCUUGGACAGCCUUCUGAAAGGAAGAUUAAUACAAGAUGGCAUCAUGAGUCCGCAUGUUCACAUGAUUAAAGGUAUUCCGGUAGACGAUGGGGAUGCGUUCCAUUAGAUAGUAGGCGGGGUAACGGCCCACCUAGUCUUCGAUGGAUAGGGGUUCGUGAGAGGAAGGUCCCCCACAUUGGAACUGAGACACGGUCCAGACUCCUACGGGAGGCAGCAUG
This 255-nucleotide ribosomal RNA is filed under the name uncultured bacterium. RNAcentral's name for it is "partial 16S ribosomal RNA". It matches the Rfam family "Bacterial small subunit ribosomal RNA", at positions 100 to 353 of the family's 1533-position model. The record is from RNAcentral.